GAUGAACGCUAGCUACAGGCUUAACACAUGCAAGUCGAGGGGAAACGAUGAGAGAGCUUGCUCUCUUAGUCGUCGACCGGCGCACGGGUGAGUAACGCGUAUCCAACCUGCCUCUGACCAAGGGAUAACCCGUCGAAAGUCGGACUAAUACCUUAUGCAGUCGUCGGAAGUCAUCUGAUGACGACGAAAGAUUUCAUCGGUGAGAGAUGGGGAUGCGUCUGAUUAGCUUGUUGGCGGGGUAACGGCCCACCAAGGCGACGAUCAGUAGGGGUUCUGAGAGGAAGGUCCCCCACAUUGGAACUGAGACACGGUCCAAACUCCUACGGGAGGCAGCAGUGAGGAAUAUUGGUCAAUGGGCGUAAGCCUGAACCAGCCAAGUAGCGUGCAGGAUGACGGCCCUAUGGGUUGUAAACUGCUUUUAUGCGGGGAUAAAGUGAGGGACGUGUCCUUCAUUGCAGGUACCGAAUGAAUAAGGACCGGCUAAUUCCGUG
RNAcentral lists this ribosomal RNA (491 nucleotides) under uncultured bacterium. RNAcentral describes it as "partial 16S ribosomal RNA". It matches the Rfam family "Bacterial small subunit ribosomal RNA", at positions 28 to 507 of the family's 1533-position model. The record is from RNAcentral.